RNAcentral lists this ribosomal RNA (469 nucleotides) under Escherichia fergusonii. RNAcentral describes it as "bacterial SSU rRNA". It matches the Rfam family "Bacterial small subunit ribosomal RNA", at positions 22 to 483 of the family's 1533-position model. Lineage: Bacteria; Pseudomonadati; Pseudomonadota; Gammaproteobacteria; Enterobacterales; Enterobacteriaceae. The record is from RNAcentral.
GCUCAGAUUGAACGCUGGCGGCAGGCCUAACACAUGCAAGUCGAACGGUAACAGGAAGCAGCUUGCUUCUUUGCUGACGAGUGGCGGACGGGUGAGUAAUGUCUGGGAAACUGCCUGAUGGAGGGGGAUAACUACUGGAAACGGUAGCUAAUACCGCAUAACGUCGCAAGACCAAAGAGGGGGACCUUCGGGCCUCUUGCCAUCGGAUGUGCCCAGAUGGGAUUAGCUUGUUGGUGGGGUAACGGCUCACCAAGGCGACGAUCCCUAGCUGGUUUGAGAGGAUGACCAGCCACACUGGAACUGAGACACGGUCCAGACUCCUACGGGAGGCAGCAGUGGGGAAUAUUGCACAAUGGGCGCAAGCCUGAUGCAGCCAUGCCGCGUGUAUGAAGAAGGCCUUCGGGUUGUAAAGUACUUUCAGCGGGGAGGAAGGGAGUAAAGUUAAUACCUUGCUCAUGACGUACCCGCA